AUGUGGCACAAGACCGGAAAUACCUUGCCAGUGAUGGUCAACGGCCGGCAGACGGGCAGCAAAAAGGUUCUGGUGCUGCACACCAACAAGAACUUCGACCAGCAGAGGACCAACUGGGUGAUGCACCAGUACCACCUCGGGGACCUGGAGCAAGAGAAGGAGCGGGAGCUGGUCCUUUGCAAGAUUUUCUACCAGGCGAACACUAGGGCCAAGAGUAAAAAGAUUAUAAGAUUGGUAUUGGUAGUUGCCCAGCCCAUGACGACAACGGGGCACAAAGAUCCAGCAGGUAUCUACUGGCCUUUGGCCCGCCAGCAUUAG
RNAcentral lists this ribosomal RNA (318 nucleotides) under Triticum aestivum (bread wheat). RNAcentral describes it as "partial small subunit ribosomal RNA". Lineage: Eukaryota; Viridiplantae; Streptophyta; Magnoliopsida; Poales; Poaceae. The record is from RNAcentral.